GGAUUGAACUCACAACCUAGGUAUGUGCCCUGACUGGAAAUCAAACCCACCACCUUUUGUUGUACAGGAUGACACUAAAACCAACAGCCACUGGCCAGGGCUCAGUAUUUUUUAUUGAGAUUUCCUGGGGAAAAGGGGAGACUACAGUAUUGACUGCUGAAUUGGGAAUUUAAAGCAGAAAAUGAGAACAAUUAGAUUUUUAAAAUUGCAUUGGGAAUAUAAAAUUUUAUCUUUUUCUCAGGUAUAUUAAAAAUAUUAAAUAAAAAAUUUAAUAAGACAUUAAAAUUUUGACUAUGAAAAAAAUUUAACCUAAUUCUAAAAGUUGAGAUUAAGGGAUAAGAGUGUGAUGUAUAUGUGAUUACAAAACUCAACUAUGUUUUCUCUAUUAUCAAUAAGAACUCUACUUUUAAUUUUUUUCUGUGAUAAUUUAUUUCAGCUUCAUGGAGAUUUCUGACCAAAUUGAGGAACUCUAUCUUGGGUGUACCUAAAUGUGCCUGAAGAUGAAUCAGGACAAGAUUCCUUUCUCCCACCUGUAUUUUGAAUACAUACAAUUACUCAUAGAUUUGGAUUUUUGUUUAAGUUUUCCUGUCACACUCUUCACUGUGUCUCAGAACCUAUUUGAUGGAAGUGCUAUCGUGAAGAAGUGAACUUGCCAAAAGGCACGUGGCAUGAAAGCAGACAAAAGAAGUAAUGGGCCAAUAAAAUUGGUAAUUUCUGAACGAAGGAAGUCUCUUCAAA
Molecule: long non-coding RNA, 738 nt
Organism: Myotis lucifugus (little brown bat)
Lineage: Eukaryota; Metazoa; Chordata; Mammalia; Chiroptera; Vespertilionidae
Exons: 2
Source: RefSeq, a predicted model, not a curated record